CAGCAGCCACGGUAAUACGAAGGGUGCAAGCGUUAAUCGGAAUUACUGGGCGUAAAGCGCGCGUAGGUGGUUUGUUAAGUUGGAGGUGAAAUCCCCGGGCUCAACCUGGGAACUGCCUCCAAAACUGGCUGACUAGAGUACGGUAGAGGGUGGUGGAAUUUCCUGUGUAGCGGUGAAAUGCGUAGAUAUAGGAAGGAACACCAGUGGCGAAGGCGACCACCUGGACUGAUACUGACACUGAGGUGCGAAAGCGUGGGGAGCAAACAGGAUUAGAUACCCGCGUAGUCCCUGUCUCUUAUAC
RNAcentral lists this ribosomal RNA (301 nucleotides) under uncultured bacterium. RNAcentral's name for it is "partial 16S ribosomal RNA". It matches the Rfam family "Bacterial small subunit ribosomal RNA", at positions 509 to 807 of the family's 1533-position model. The record is from RNAcentral.